RNAcentral lists this long non-coding RNA (326 nucleotides) under Nicotiana benthamiana. RNAcentral's name for it is "long non-coding RNA (NBEN_LNC030943)". Lineage: Eukaryota; Viridiplantae; Streptophyta; Magnoliopsida; Solanales; Solanaceae. The record is from RNAcentral.
ACAAAUUCAGUUUAUGAUAGAGGGGCAAUAUCAUUAGUUCAUCACAGUUCUGCUUGUCGGGGUAAGUUCCCUUAUUUGUUGCCCCAUUUCUAGGUGCAUUUCAUGAUUUGUACUUUGCUUAUGCGAUUAUCCAGUUAGGAGGUUCUGUGAGUGAUAUCCGUGUCUAUCAUUCGUGUUUAGCUGUUGCCAAGAGUUAUGAGGCUACUAGUUAAUUCAUGUUGUCUGUUUCGGUAGGUAUGAUAUGAUCUCUGAGUAUUCUUGGUUAUGAUCUAUGAUUUCUAGCCCCCAGUGGUGUGAGAUCCAAUCUGUGUGGUAAUUCUUAACUG